GGGGACAACCCGCCGAAAGGCGGGCUAAACCCGCGUACAUGCCACCGGGGCAUCCCGGAGGCAGGAAAGGCUUCGGCCGGACAGGGAUGGGCAUGCGGCGCAUUAGGCAGUAGGCGGGGUAACGGCCCACCUAACCGACGAUGCGUAGGGGUUCUGAGAGGAAGGUCCCCCACACUGGUACUGAGACACGGACCAGACUCCUACGGGAGGCAGCAGUGAGGAAUAUUGGUCAAUGGUCGGGAGACUGAACCAGCCAAGCCGCGUGAGGGAGGAAGGUACAGAGUAUCGUAAACCUCUUUUGUCAGGGAACAAAGACUGGGACGCGUCCCCGGAUGAGUGUACCUGAAGAAAAAGCAUCGGCUAACUCCGUGCCAGCAGCCGCGGUAAUACGGAGGAUGCGAGCGUUAUCCGGAUUUAUUGGGUUUAAAGGGUGCGCAGGCGGUCUGUUAAGUCAGCGGUCAAAGCCCGGGGCUCAACCCCGGCCCGCCGUUGAAACUGGCAGUCUCGAGUUGGAGAGAAGUAUGCGGAAUGCGCGGUGUAGCGGUGAAAUGCAUAGAUAUCGCGCAGAACUCCGAUUGCGAAGGCAGCAUGCCGGCUCCACACUGACGCUGAGGCACGAAAGCGUGGGUAUCGAACAGGAUUAGAUACCCUGGUAGUCCACGCAGUAAACGAUGA
This 675-nucleotide ribosomal RNA is filed under the name uncultured bacterium. RNAcentral describes it as "bacterial SSU rRNA". It matches the Rfam family "Bacterial small subunit ribosomal RNA", at positions 139 to 812 of the family's 1533-position model. The record is from RNAcentral.